This 468-nucleotide ribosomal RNA is filed under the name uncultured bacterium. Its description in RNAcentral is "partial 16S ribosomal RNA". It matches the Rfam family "Bacterial small subunit ribosomal RNA", at positions 28 to 507 of the family's 1533-position model. The record is from RNAcentral.
GACGAACGCUGGCGGCGUGCUUAACACAUGCCAGUCGAACGGAAAGGCCCUGCUUUUGUGGGGUGCUCGAGUGGCGAACGGGUGAGUAACACGUGAGUAACCUGCCCUUGACUUUGGGAUAACUUCAGGAAACUGGGGCUAAUACCGGAUAGGAGCUCCUGCUGCAUGGUGGGGGUUGGAAAGUUUCGGCGGUUGGGGAUGGACUCGCGGCUUAUCAGCUUGUUGGUGGGGUAGUGGCUUACCAAGGCUUUGACGGGUAGCCGGCCUGAGAGGGUGACCGGCCACACUGGGACUGAGAUACGGCCCAGACUCCUACGGGAGGCAGCAGUGGGGAAUAUUGCACAAUGGGCGGAAGCCUGAUGCAGCAACGCCGCGUGCGGGAUGACGGCCUUCGGGUUGUAAACCGCUUUCGCCUGUGACGAAGCGUGAGUGACGGUAAUGGGUAAAGAAGCACCGGCUAACUACGUG